AGAGUUUGAUUAUGGCUCAGGAUGAAACGCUAGCGACAGGCUUAACACAUGCAAGUCGAGGGGCAGCAUAGAAGUAGCAAUACUUGGUGGCGACCGGCGCACGGGUGAGUAACGCGUAUGCAACCUACCUAUCAGAGGGGAAUAACCCGGCGAAAGUCGGACUAAUACCGCAUAAAACAGGGGCACCGCAUGGUGAUAUUUGUUAAAGAAAUUCGCUGAUAGAUGGGCAUGCGUUCCAUUAGGUAGUUGGUGAGGUAACGGCUCACCAAGCCGACGAUGGAUAGGGGAACUGAGAGGUUGGUCCCCCACACUGGUACUGAGACACGGACCAGACUCCUACGGGAGGCAGCAGUGAGGAAUAUUGGUCAAUGGGCGGGAGCCUGAACCAGCCAAGUCGCCGUGAAGGAAGAAGGAUCUAUGGUUCGUAAACUUCUUUUGCAGGGGAAUAAAGUGCAGGACGUGUCCUGUUUUGUAUGUACCCUGAGAAUAAGGAUCGGCUAACUCCGUGCCAGCCGCCGC
Molecule: ribosomal RNA, 519 nt
Filed under: uncultured bacterium
Lineage: Bacteria
Description: bacterial SSU rRNA
Rfam family: Bacterial small subunit ribosomal RNA
Source: RNAcentral